CAGUCGCCACGGUAACACGAAGGUCCCGAGCGUUGUUCGGAAUCACUGGGCGUAAAGGGAGCGUAGGCGGCGUGGUAAGUCAGAUGUGAAAUCCCGGGGCUCAACCCCGGAACUGCAUCCGAUACUGCCAUGCUAGAGGAUUGGAGAGGUAGCUGGAAUUCUUGGUGUAGCAGUGAAAUGCGUGGAGAUCAAGAGGAACACUCGUGGCGAAAGCGAGCUACUGGACAAUAACUGACGCUGAGGCUCGAAGGCCAGGGUAGCGAAAGGGAUUAGAUACCCCGGUAGUCCCUGUCUCUUAUAC
This 301-nucleotide ribosomal RNA is filed under the name uncultured bacterium. Its description in RNAcentral is "partial 16S ribosomal RNA". It matches the Rfam family "Bacterial small subunit ribosomal RNA", at positions 509 to 807 of the family's 1533-position model. The record is from RNAcentral.